Molecule: long non-coding RNA, 375 nt
Organism: Hyla sarda
Lineage: Eukaryota; Metazoa; Chordata; Amphibia; Anura; Hylidae
Exons: 3
Source: RefSeq, a predicted model, not a curated record
AGACUAGCAGACUACCUGGCGUUGCUUGGUCUUUCUACCUAAACCUUGUGGGAGAGACACUCUUAUCUUCAUAUCCCAUCCUCAAGAUUCUGAUAAAGGAAUUAAAUGAAUUGCCCUUUUAGCUUUCCAUUAAACUGAACAAUAAUGUAUCCAGUAAACUGCCAGAUUAAAUGAAGCAGGAGGGAUUUGCCAGCAAAAACUGAAUAAAGUGUCUUCCCCUAAUGGCAUUCAAUAAUCAGAGUUAUAGGUUAUAUAAAUGGAUCAUACGUGACUGCAAAGACUUCAGAGGGAGAAUGCUGCAAUGAGGAUGUGGCACAGAUUACAUCCAGGCAUGUGUUGUAUAUUUGGAAGAAUACGUUACCUCUCUGUGGUGUA